GGGGAAUAUUGGGGCAAAUGGGGCGAAAGCCUGACCCUGCAACGCCGCGUGAAGGAAGAAGGUCUUCGGAUUGUAAACUUCUUUUAUCAGGGACGAAGGAAGUGACGGUACCUGAUGAAUAAGCCACGGCUAACUACGUACCAGCAGCCGCGGUAAUACGUAGGUGGCGAGCGUUAUCCGGAUUUACUGGGUGUAAAGGGCGCGUAGGCGGGGAUACAAGUCAGGUGUGAAAUCUAUGGGCUUAACCCAUAAACUGCACUUGAAACUGUAUCUCUUGAGUGUCGGAGAGGUAGACGGAAUUCCUAGUGUAGCGGUGAAAUGCGUAGAUAUUAGGAGGAACACCAGUGGCGAAGGCGGUCUACUGGACGAUAACUGACGCUGAGGCGCG
Molecule: ribosomal RNA, 388 nt
Filed under: uncultured Oscillospiraceae bacterium
Lineage: Bacteria; Bacillati; Bacillota; Clostridia; Eubacteriales; Oscillospiraceae
Description: bacterial SSU rRNA
Rfam family: Bacterial small subunit ribosomal RNA
Source: RNAcentral